This 433-nucleotide ribosomal RNA is filed under the name uncultured bacterium. RNAcentral's name for it is "partial 16S ribosomal RNA". It matches the Rfam family "Bacterial small subunit ribosomal RNA", at positions 29 to 507 of the family's 1533-position model. The record is from RNAcentral.
AACGAACGCUGGCGGCAUGCCUAACACAUGCAAGUCGAACGGAGGCUUCGGCCUUAGUGGCGCACGGGUGCGUAACGCGUGAGAGUCUGCUAAUUGGUUUGGAAUAUCAGCUGUACACGGGUGUUAAUACCGGAAGGUCACGCAAAUCCAAAGAUUUAUCGCCAGUGGGUGAUGACGCGUUGGAUUAGGUAGUUGGUAUGGUAAAGGCCUACGAAGCAGAAGAUUCAUAGCUAGUAUGGGAAGAAGAUCAGCAACACUGGGACUGAGAAACGGACCAGACUCGUACAGGAGGCAGCGGGGGGGAAUAUGAGACAAUGAGCGCAAGUCAAAGACAGCAAUGCCGUGUGAGGGAAGAAGGUCCUAGGGUUGUAAAGCUCUUGUACCCGGGAAGAUAAUGACUGUACCGGGAGAAUAAGCCCCGGCUAACUCCGUG